This 502-nucleotide ribosomal RNA is filed under the name Bacillaceae bacterium BF.48. RNAcentral's name for it is "bacterial SSU rRNA". It matches the Rfam family "Bacterial small subunit ribosomal RNA", at positions 17 to 502 of the family's 1533-position model. The record is from RNAcentral. Lineage: Bacteria; Bacillati; Bacillota; Bacilli; Caryophanales; Bacillaceae.
CCCUGGCUCAGGACGAACGCUGGCGGCGUGCCUAAUACAUGCAAGUCGAGCGAAUGAUAGGGAGCUUGCUCCCUUGAUUUAGCGGCGGACGGGUGAGUAACACGUGGGCAACCUACCUGUAAGACUGGGAUAACUUCGGGAAACCGGAGCUAAUACCGGAUAAUUUCUUUUCUCGCAUGAGAAGAGAUGGAAAGACGGUUUCGGCUGUCACUUACAGAUGGGCCCGCGGCGCAUUAGCUAGUUGGUGAGGUAAUGGCUCACCAAGGCCACGAUGCGUAGCCGACCUGAGAGGGUGAUCGGCCACACUGGGACUGAGACACGGCCCAGACUCCUACGGGAGGCAGCAGUAGGGAAUCUUCCGCAAUGGACGAAAGUCUGACGGAGCAACGCCGCGUGAACGAAGAAGGCCUUCGGGUCGUAAAGUUCUGUUGUUAGGGAAGAACAAGUACCAGAGUAACUGCUGGUACCUUGACGGUACCUAACCAGAAAGCCACGGCUAACU